GAUGCAUUGUUGAUGAUGACAUUCGUCCCAAUGGGAUGUGGUGUCAUGUCCSUUGUUUAUCCUAGUUUWGGCUUAUUGAGCUUAAAAUGCUAGGAUUAUCAGYUAGUGACACGACAUCGCUCCAUUGGUUGAUGAAUGUCGUCCAAUGCGGUGGUGGUUGUUAUGUUUUGUUCUCGCAUCGUUCGGUGCAUUCUGGGGUCAUUUUKGCUGUUAGCGGCUUGCUUGGCAUUURAGCUUAGUGGGCGGCUAUAGGUUAUGUGUCUUCGGGGAUGUAUUACUGUAAAGGUGCAUGAGUGGUGUUUGGUGUGUUACGGGUGGUUGGCUCUUUGCUUGCGCAACAACUUCCUCCCGGCAUACCUCUUCAGUCUUGAGUCAAUGCUUGUAUGGCAUUGAGUGCRUGAUGGGUUUCUUGUGUUGCAUACCUAAUAGAUGGUAUCGUUUGAUGAAUUGGUUUCCCUUUUCGUCUUGCGYCGCUCAUGCGGUGUGAGAUGAACCUUGAGGCAGCCCUUGUGAUCCRCUAUUUUGAUGCAUAUGCAUUGAUUUUGUGGCUCAUUGAGUGUUUGCUUGGUGUCAUGGAUAUGGAACCUGGUGUGGGCAUGGAAUCUUAAUGGUUCCUUGUUUGCUCAAAUUUAGCUUUUCUAAAACGAUKGUCUAUCG
Molecule: unclassified non-coding RNA, 657 nt
Filed under: Helichrysum indicum
Lineage: Eukaryota; Viridiplantae; Streptophyta; Magnoliopsida; Asterales; Asteraceae
Description: partial external transcribed spacer
Source: RNAcentral